UGGGGAAUCUUGCACAAUGGGGGAAACCCUGAUGCAGCGACGCCGCGUGAGUGACGAAGCCCUUCGGGGUGUAAAGCUCUUUCGACAGGAACGAUAAUGACGGUACCUGAAGAAGAAGCUGCGGCUAACUACGUGCCAGCAGCCGCGGUAAUACGUAGGCAGCAAGCGUUGUUCGGAAUUACUGGGCGUAAAGAGUGCGUAGGUGGUUGGCUAAGUUUGGUGUGAAAUCUCCCGGCUUAACUGGGAGGGUGCGCCGAAAACUGGCUAGCUAGAGUGUGGGAGAGGGAAGUGGAAUUCCUGGUGUAGCGGUGAAAUGCGUAGAUAUCAGGAGGAACACCUGCGGUGUAGACGGCUUCCUGGACCAUUACUGACACUGAGGCACGAAAGCGUGGGGAUCGAACA
This 402-nucleotide ribosomal RNA is filed under the name uncultured prokaryote. Its description in RNAcentral is "bacterial SSU rRNA". It matches the Rfam family "Bacterial small subunit ribosomal RNA", at positions 355 to 774 of the family's 1533-position model. The record is from RNAcentral.